RNAcentral lists this ribosomal RNA (253 nucleotides) under uncultured bacterium. RNAcentral's name for it is "partial 16S ribosomal RNA". It matches the Rfam family "Bacterial small subunit ribosomal RNA", at positions 524 to 776 of the family's 1533-position model. The record is from RNAcentral.
UACGGGGGGGGCAAGCGUUGUUCGGGAUUACUGGGCGUAAAGGGCGCGUAGGCGGCCCGCUAAGUCGAACGUGAAAUCCCCGAGCUCAACUCGGGAACUGCGUCCGAUACUGGCGGGCUUGAAUCCGGGAGAGGGAUGCGGAAUUCCAGGUGUAGCGGUGAAAUGCGUAGAUAUCUGGAGGAACACCGGUGGCAAAGGCGGCAUCCUGGACCGGCAUUGACGCUGAGGCGCGAAAGCUAGGGGAGCAAACGGG